RNAcentral lists this ribosomal RNA (484 nucleotides) under uncultured bacterium. RNAcentral's name for it is "partial 16S ribosomal RNA". It matches the Rfam family "Bacterial small subunit ribosomal RNA", at positions 30 to 507 of the family's 1533-position model. The record is from RNAcentral.
AUUGAAUGCUGGCGGCAUGCCUUACACAUGCAAGUCGAACGGUAACGGGCCUUCGGGUCCCGACUAGUGGCGCACGGGGGAGUAAUACAUCUGAACGUGUCCGAUCGUGGGGGGUAACGCGUCGAAAGCUUGGCGAUUAUCCCAUACGAGCCACGGAGGAGAGCGUGGGAGCUCAACGGCUUUCGCGCUCGCAGCUGCCCCUAGGGCGGAUUAGCUAGUUGGUGGGGUAAAGGCAUACCAAGGCGACGAUGCGUAGCUGGUCUGAGAGGAUGAUCAGUCACACUGGAACUGAGACACGGCCCAGACUCCUACGGGAGGCAGCGGUGGGGAAUUUUGGACAAUGGGCGAAAGCCUGAUCCAGCCAUGCCGCGUGUAGGAUGAAGGCCUUCGGGUUGUAAACUGCUUUUAUACGGAACGAAAAGCAUUCUUUUAAUACAGGAGGGUCAUGACGGUACCGUAAGAAUAAGCACCGGCUAACUACGUG